UACGAAGGGGGCUAGCGUUGUUCGGAAUUACUGGGCGUAAAGGGCGCGUAGGCGGCUUGAUAAGUUGGAUGUGAAAUCCCCGGGCUCAACUCGGGAAUUGCAUUCAAGACUAUCUUGCUUGAAUUCGGUAGAGGUUGGUGGAAUUCCCAGUGUAGAGGUGAAAUUCGUAGAGAUUGGGAAGAAUAUCCGUGGCGAAGGCGGCCAACUGGACCGACAUUGACGCUGAGGCGCGAAAGCGUGGGGAG
Molecule: ribosomal RNA, 245 nt
Filed under: uncultured bacterium
Lineage: Bacteria
Description: partial 16S ribosomal RNA
Rfam family: Bacterial small subunit ribosomal RNA
Source: RNAcentral